This 1437-nucleotide ribosomal RNA is filed under the name Potato witches'-broom phytoplasma. Its description in RNAcentral is "bacterial SSU rRNA". It matches the Rfam family "Bacterial small subunit ribosomal RNA". Lineage: Bacteria; Bacillati; Mycoplasmatota; Mollicutes; Acholeplasmatales; Acholeplasmataceae. The record is from RNAcentral.
CCUUAAAGGUUUUAGUGGCGAACGGGUGAGUAACACGUAAGUAACCUGCCUUUAAGACGAGGAUAACAACCGGAAACGGUUGCUAAGACUGGAUAGGAAACAAAAAGGCAUCUUUUUGUUUUUAAAAGACCUUCUUACGAAGGUAUGCUUAAAGAGGGGCUUGCGCCACAUUAGUUAGUUGGUAGAGUAAAAGCCUACCAAGACGAUGAUGUGUAGCUGGACUGAGAGGUUGAACAGCCACAUUGGGACUGAGACACGGCCCAAACUCCUACGGGAGGCAGCAGUAGGGAAUUUUCGGCAAUGGAGGAAACUCUGACCGAGCAACGCCGCGUGAACGAUGAAGUAUUUCGGUAUGUAAAGUUCUUUUAUUGAAGAAGAAAAAGUAGUGGAAAAACUAUAUUGACGUUAUUCAAUGAAUAAGCCCCGGCUAACUAUGUGCCAGCAGCCGCGGUAAGACAUAGGGGGCGAGCGUUAUCCGGAAUUAUUGGGCGUAAAGGGUGCGUAGGCUGUUAGAUAAGUCUAUAAUUUAAUUUCAGUGCUUAACGCUGUCUUGUUAUAGAAACUGUCUUGACUAGAGUGAGAUAGAGGCAAGCGGAAUUCCAUGUGUAGCGGUAAAAUGUGUAAAUAUAUGGAGGAACACCAGAAGCGUAGGCGGCUUGCUGGGUCUUUACUGACGCUGAGGCACGAAAGCGUGGGUAGCAAACAGGAUUAGAUACCCUGGUAGUCCACGCCGUAAACGAUGAGUACUAAGUGUCGGGGUAAAACUCGGUACUGAAGUUAACACAUUAAGUACUCCGCCUGAGUAGUACGUACGCAAGUAUGAAACUUAAAGGAAUUGACGGGACUCCGCACAAGCGGUGGAUCAUGUUGUUUAAUUCGAAGAUACACGAAAAAUCUUACCAGGUCUUGACAUACUCUGCAAAGCUAUAGAAAUAUAGUGGAGGUUAUCAGGGAUACAGGUGGUGCAUGGUUGUCGUCAGUUCGUGUCGUGAGAUGUUAGGUUAAGUCCUAAAACGAGCGCAACCCUUGUCGUUAAUUGCCAGCACGUAAUGGUGGGGACUUUAACGAGACUGCCAAUUAAACAUUGGAGGAAGGUGAGGAUUACGUCAAAUCAUCAUGCCCCUUAUGAUCUGGGCUACAAACGUGAUACAAUGGCUGUGACAAAGAGUAGCUGAAACGCGAGUUUUUAGCCAAUCUCAAAAAAGCAGUCUCAGUUCGGAUUGAAGUCUGUAACUCGACUUCAUGAAGUUGGAAUCGCUAGUAAUCGCGAAUCAGCAUGUCGCGGUGAAUACGUUCUCGGGGUUUGUACACACCGCCCGUCAAACCACGAAAGUUAGCAAUACCCGAAAGCAGUAGCUUAACUUCGCAAGAAGAGGGAACUGUCUAAGGUAGGGUUGAUGAUUGGGGUUAAGUCGUAACAAGGUAUCCCUACCGGAA